AGUGAACGCUGGCGGUAUGCCUAACACAUGCAAGUCGAACGGCAGCACAUUAAGAGCUUGCUCUUACGGGUGGCGAGUGGCGGACGGGUGAGGAAUACAUCGGCAUCUACUUUUUCGUGGGGGAUAACGUAGGGAAACUUACGCUAAUACCUCAUACGAUUUACCGGUGAAAUCAAGUGAUCUUCAUACCUUUCGCUAUUUCAUGAGUCGAUGUCGGAUUUGUUAGUUGGCGGGUGAAAGGCCCACUAAGGCGACGAUCCGUAGCUGGCCUGAGAGGAUGACCGGCACCAUUGGAAUUGAGAAACGGCCCAGACUCCUCCGGGAGGCAGAAGAGGGGAAUAUUGGACAAUGAGCGAAGGCCUGCUCCAGCAAGACCGCGUGGGUGAAGAAGGUCUUCGGGUUGUAAAGCCCUUUUGUUGGGAAAGAAAAGCAGCAGGUUAGUACCCCGAUGUUGUGACGGUAACCAAAGAAUAAGCAACGGCUAACUUCGUG
This 492-nucleotide ribosomal RNA is filed under the name uncultured bacterium. RNAcentral's name for it is "partial 16S ribosomal RNA". It matches the Rfam family "Bacterial small subunit ribosomal RNA", at positions 29 to 507 of the family's 1533-position model. The record is from RNAcentral.